GGGGGAGAGAUUAGCACAGCAAAGUUAUGGGAGGAUUGUUUUCAAGAGCUCCUCCAGUAAAAUUGCUUGAUGCACCAUGGAGGAAGCACUUUAACUGGGGAAAUAAAGAGGACGAUCUACAGUAUGUGAACAGCUACAAGCCUCAGACUAAAGAACAGCAGCUCAGGAUUCUUCUACAAGGCCCAGUUGGAGCUGGAAAGUCCAGUUUCAUCAACUCUGUUAAAAGUGUCCUACAGAACAGAGCAUGCAGACAGGUCUCCUGUCCGAAGCACCUCCCAUUCAUCUUGCACAAAAAGGU
This is a non-coding RNA of Maylandia zebra (zebra mbuna), 298 nucleotides long. The record is from RefSeq and is a predicted model, not a curated record. NCBI's taxonomy places the organism in Eukaryota, Metazoa, Chordata, Actinopteri, Cichliformes, Cichlidae.